UACGUAGGGAGCAAGCGUUGUUCGGAUUUACUGGGCGUAAAGGGCGCGUAGGCGGCAAUUCAAGUCAUCUGUGAAAUCUCCGGGCUUAACUCGGAACGGUCAGAUGAUACUGCUUUGCUAGAGUGCGGAAGGGGCAAUCGGAAUUCUCGGUGUAGCGGUGAAAUGCGUAGAUAUCGAGAGGACCACCUGAGGUGAAGACGGGUUGCUGGGCCGACACUGACGCUGACAGCGCGAAAGCCAGGGGAGCAAACGGG
Molecule: ribosomal RNA, 254 nt
Filed under: uncultured bacterium
Lineage: Bacteria
Description: partial 16S ribosomal RNA
Rfam family: Bacterial small subunit ribosomal RNA
Source: RNAcentral